Molecule: ribosomal RNA, 253 nt
Filed under: uncultured bacterium
Lineage: Bacteria
Description: partial 16S ribosomal RNA
Rfam family: Bacterial small subunit ribosomal RNA
Source: RNAcentral
UACGUAGGUGGCGAGCGUUAUCCGGAAUGAUUGGGCGUAAAGGGAGCGUAGACGGCAUGGCAAGUCAGAUGUGAAAGCCCGGGGCUCAACCCCGGGACUGCAUUUGAAACUGUCAGGCUGGAGUGCAGGAGAGGUAAGCGGAAUUCCUAGUGUAGCGGUGAAAUGCGUAGAUAUUAGGAGGAACACCAGUGGCGAAGGCGGCUUACUGGACUGUAACUGACGUUGAGGCUCGAAAGCGUGGGGAGCAAACAGG